UAUAAUAACUAAUAAAAUAAACAAUAUAUUUUAAAAUAUCUUCAACAUAUGGUGAAAAAAAACACCCAUUACAUUUACAAAUAAACAGAGGUAGCAAACAAGUAACCUUUGACAUUAUGUCCUUGAGGUAACCCUCACUCUCACCCUAAAAAAACAACAACAAAAAACACCUGAUCUAAGCAAUAUUAAACCAUUAAACUGUAGCAAUAUUUAUAACAACUCUAAACAUGAACACAUUGGGUUUCCUGUAUUAAGCUCAGGAAAAAAUAAUAAAUUAAUAAAAAAAAUAUAUGAAUGAAUGUCACGUGACCGUAGGCUACAUAUAUGCGAUGACCGUUUUAAUUUGUAUCAGAUGACCGUUGUGAUUUCCUCAGCCUACUGUACCCUCAACAUUUUUUGAUCAUUUUCCUCACAUUAAUAACCUGUAAAUAGAACCAGUUGUACAUAUUAAGUUCCUGUUCAUUCAUUACAUGUCUUUCUACUACUGUUGUUUUAAAAGUUAAUUAGUCGUCUUUAAGUUUGUUUGUAGUUUGUCGUUAGUUCAUCAAGUGGUUGAAAGUUAUCCAUUACCAUCCGUCAACCAACUAAAGGUAUGUACAUUAUGUUAAUGCAUUAGACUUGGUAGGCCAGUAAACAAAUAACAAAAAAAUAGGUUUGUUUGUAUUAAGGUCUUAAUACUAUGGCUUCAAAUGAACCAUCCUAUUGGAUGAAAAGCAAAGGACAAGGUGGAUCAGCAACUGCAGACAAUACAGGCAACAACUUGGGGGAAAGAAUUCGGUUGGAUGCACAGUAAAACCGUUCAAGGUCAAAAUGAUGAUGACGAUACAUUCAUGGACUGUCUCUCUCAUGUUGAUGAGACUGAAGAUGUCAGAAGUGUUCCUGAUGACAGUGAAUCAGACACAGAAUCAGAAUCAGAUCCAAAUUCAUUAGAUGAUGAUUUGGCAUCCUGGGCUACUGAACACAAAAUUACACAUGUGGCAUUGAAUUCAUUGCUCAACAUUCUACGGCUACACAGUUUAAAUCUACCAAAAGACUCGAGGACAUUGCUAGGAACUGUGCGUUUAAACCCUGACAUACAAGACAAGGCUGGUGGCCAGUAUUACCAUUUCGAAAUGCUGAAUUCAAUUGCAGAGGUGCUACAUCAGAAUGUUGACAUUCUGCGCAACAUUCACACGCUGGAGCUUCAGGUCAGCAUUGAUGGUUUGCCUCUCUAUAAGAGCUCAGCAACACAGUUCUGGCCCAUCCUAGGGACACUGCAAAACAUCAAACAAGAGGAACCAGUGACAAUAGGUUUAUUUUGUGGCACAAGUAAACCUACAUCCCUAGCAGAGUACCUUCAAGAAUUCAUCUCUGAAGUAAAUGAAUUAGCUAAAGGAUUUGAAUUCGAUGGAGUGAUGUUCAAUUUAAUACUCUCUUCGAUGGUCUGUGAUGCACCUGCCCAUGCAUUCCUGAAAAAUGUUAAAGGUCACACAGGCUAUCACGGAUGUGAAAAAUGCACACAGGAUGGUUUGUACCUAGAAAAUAGAAUGACAUUUCCAAGAACUGACAUGCCUUUAAGAACUAAUGAGAGCUUCAGAAAUAAGACAGAUGCUGAUCAUCAUCAUGGUCCAUCACCUCUUGAAGAAACAUCCCUAAACAUGGUCUCUGGUUUCCCCCUUGACUACAUGCACCUUGUGUGCCUCGGAAUCAUGAGACGGCUUCUUCUCUUGUGGCUUAAGAUGGGUCCUCUGACUUGUAGGCUGUCAGGAUUUCAAAUAAACACAUUGUCAGAAAGACUGUUAAAUGCUCGGAGAAGUGUGCCCAUGGAGUUUGCAAGGAAACCAAGGGCACUGAGAGAAAUUGAUAGGUGGAAGGCAACCGAGUUUAGGCAGUUUUUACUGUAUACCGGACCGGUCAUGAUGAAAGAUCUCCUUAACACAGAGGUGUACAAAAAUUUCUUGCUACUUUUUGUGGGAAUCCUGUGCAACAACAGUUUGAUUGAAGAAUACUGUGAUUAUGCCAAUGACUUACUGGUACUCUUUGUCUCUCACUUUGGUCAACUGUAUGGUCCACAAUUCUUGUCCUACAAUGCACACUGCCUUGUGCAUCUUGCAGAUGAUGCGAAAAAGCAUGGUGUCCUUGACAACUUCAGUGCUUUCAAGUAUGAGAAUCACCUAAACAAACUCAAAAGACUUCUGAGGAAACCAACAUGCCCACUCAGUCAAAUAAUAAAAAGACUCUCAGAAAUGCAAAGAUGCUGCAAAAAAACUCACAAAACCAGGCCACAUCUGCUCAAAAAACCACAUGCGACUGGUCCUCUUCCUGCAUCCUUCCAUGAGGCGACACAAUACAAAGAGUUGAGAACAAGCCCACACACUCUGAAAUUGGAUAAGGCAAACAGUCACGUUUGCAUUGGCGGCAAAGUUGCUAAGCUGCAAAACAUCAUUUCAUGAAGGGAUGAAAUUUAUGUUGCUUACAAUACCUUCAACCACCAGGAAUCCUUUUUUGACUAUCCACUGCCAUCCUCUACACUUGGCAUUCAUUUAGCGGAUGACCUCUCAACAACAGUUGAUUUCUGCAAGUUUGAGGAAAUAGAGAGCAAAAUUUUUCUUGUCCCCUAUCACAAUCAAUUCGUUUCAAUUCCUCUUUUACAUACGAAGUAAUUCUUUAUCAGCACUUUUUGUUUCAUAGUUCAUGCAUUUCAAGUGCAUUGUUCAAAAUUAAGUUUCAUUUAAGAGUUAAUAAAAAAUACGGGUUUCAGGCUUGCAAAAAAAAAAAAAAUGUACCUAAUCGUGGAGUUUGAGGGAGAAGGGACGACUGGACCAGCUGCCAAGUCCUGGUAUGCAGAUGGCUACUCGUGGUGGCCACCAUAUAAAGAUCUUGACAGGUUGCUGAAGAGUGUUAGGACAAUGGAGGCACCACAGCCAGAAAAAGGGUGGACCCGACAUAGAGCAAGAAUCCUGCACGAGUC
Long non-coding RNA from Carassius carassius (crucian carp), 2950 nucleotides. RefSeq lists it as uncharacterized. The transcript is spliced from 2 exons. The record is from RefSeq and is a predicted model, not a curated record. Lineage: Eukaryota; Metazoa; Chordata; Actinopteri; Cypriniformes; Cyprinidae.